GGUUGUGUAGCUCAGUGGUUAGAGCAUCAGUCCUAGAAUGUCUCGGGGUCUUGGGUUAAAUCCCUAAUAUGGCCC
Non-coding RNA from Multifurca ochricompacta, 75 nucleotides. Lineage: Eukaryota; Fungi; Basidiomycota; Agaricomycetes; Russulales; Russulaceae. The record is from the annotation of a GenBank genome assembly.